CGUGUAGGCGGUUUGUCAAGUCGGGUGUGAAAGCCUGGAGCUCAGCCCCAGAAGUGCAUCCGAAACUAGCGAGCUAGAGCGCGAUAGAGGAGGGUGGAAUUCCUGGUGUAGCGGUGAAAUGCGUAGAUAUCAGGAGGAACACCGGCGGCGAAGGCGGCCCUCUGGAUCGUUGCUGACGCUGAGACGCGAAAGCGUGGGGAGCAAACAGGAUUAGAUACCCUGGUAGUCCACGCCUUAAACGAUGGGUACUAGGUGUUCGGGGUGUUGACCCCCUGAGUGCCGCAGUUAACGCAUUAAGUACCCCGCCUGGGGACUACGGCCGCAAGGUUAAA
Molecule: ribosomal RNA, 332 nt
Filed under: uncultured bacterium
Lineage: Bacteria
Description: bacterial SSU rRNA
Rfam family: Bacterial small subunit ribosomal RNA
Source: RNAcentral